This 253-nucleotide ribosomal RNA is filed under the name uncultured bacterium. RNAcentral's name for it is "partial 16S ribosomal RNA". It matches the Rfam family "Bacterial small subunit ribosomal RNA", at positions 524 to 776 of the family's 1533-position model. The record is from RNAcentral.
UACGUAGGGUGCAAGCGUUAAUCGGAAUGACUGGGCGUAAAGGGUGUGCAGGCGGUCUGCUAAGACAGAGGUGGAAUCCCCGGGCUUAACCUGGGAAUGGCCUAUGUGACUGGCAGGCUAGAGGAUGGCAGAGGGAGGCGGAAUUCCACGUGUAGCAGUGAAAUGCGUAGAGAUGUGGAGGAACACCGAUGGCGUAGGCAGCCUCCUGGGCCAAUCCUGACGCUGAAGCACGAAAGCGUGGGGAUCAAACAGG